This 210-nucleotide long non-coding RNA is filed under the name Ananas comosus (pineapple). RNAcentral's name for it is "long non-coding RNA (ACOM_LNC039671)". Lineage: Eukaryota; Viridiplantae; Streptophyta; Magnoliopsida; Poales; Bromeliaceae. The record is from RNAcentral.
ACAUUCUAGACGUCGCAAUCCAAACAAUCAACGAAUGUUCCAACUAGGAACGGAUAUCAAUCCAGAUUGCAAAGGAAGUAUCAAAUACAUAAACUACUGCUAUUACAAGCAUUCAUUUCAUCACUUAGUACAUCUCAGUUUCAAUUUACAUUUUACUUCCAAAUUACAAUCACAUUAUUACAACAUUUAGUUUACAAGUUGAUACACUUU